GUAAGGAAUAUUGGUCAAUGGGGGCAACCCUGAACCAGCCAUGCCGCGUGAAGGAUGAAGGCGUUAUGCGUUGUAAACUUCUUUUGUAUGGGAAGAAUGACAGGGAUUUAUCCUUGGAGAGACGGUACCAUACGAAUAAGCACCGGCUAACUACGUGCCAGCAGCCGCGGUAAUACGAAGGGUGCAAGCGUUAAUCGGAAUUACUGGGCGUAAAGCGCGCGUAGGUGGUUUUGUAAGUUGGAGGUGAAAUCCCCGGGCUCAACCUGGGAACUGCCUCCAAAACUGCAUGACUAGAGUACGGUAGAGGGUAGUGGAAUUUCCUGUGUAGCGGUGAAAUGCGUAGAUAUAGGAAGGAACACCAGUGGCGAAGGCGACUACCUGGACUGAUACUGACACUGAGGUGCGAAAGCGUGGGGAGCAAACAGGAUUAGAUACCCUAGUAGUCC
RNAcentral lists this ribosomal RNA (446 nucleotides) under uncultured bacterium. RNAcentral describes it as "partial 16S ribosomal RNA". It matches the Rfam family "Bacterial small subunit ribosomal RNA", at positions 354 to 796 of the family's 1533-position model. The record is from RNAcentral.